GUUAAGCGACUAAGCGUACACGGUGGAUGCCCUGGCAGUCAGAGGCGAUGAAGGACGUGCUAAUCUGCGAUAAGCGUCGGUGAGGUGAUAUGAACCGUUAUAACCGGCGAUUUCCGAAUGGGGAAACCCAGUGUGUUUCGACACACUAUCAUUAACUGAAUCCAUAGGUUAAUGAGGCGAACCGGGGGAACUGAAACAUCUAAGUACCCCGAGGAAAAGAAAUCAACCGAGAUUCCCCCAGUAGCGGCGAGCGAACGGGGAGGAGCCCAGAGCCUGAAUCAGUGUGUGUGUUAGUGGAAGCGUCUGGAAAGGCGUGCGAUACAGGGUGACAGCCCCGUACACAAAAAUGCACAUAUUGUGAGCUCGAUGAGUAGGGCGGGACACGUGGUAUCCUGUCUGAAUAUGGGGGGACCAUCCUCCAAGGCUAAAUACUCCUGACUGACCGAUAGUGAACCAGUACCGUGAGGGAAAGGCGAAAAGAACCCCGGCGAGGGGAGUGAAAAAGAACCUGAAACCGUGUACGUACAAGCAGUGGGAGCCUCUUUAUGGGGUGACUGCGUACCUUUUGUAUAAUGGGUCAGCGACUUAUAUUCUGUAGCAAGGUUAACCGAAUAGGGGAGCCGAAGGGAAACCGAGUCUUAACUGGGCGUUAAGUUGCAGGGUAUAGACCCGAAACCCGGUGAUCUAGCCAUGGGCAGGUUGAAGGUUGGGUAACACUAACUGGAGGACCGAACCGACUAAUGUUGAAAAAUUAGCGGAUGACUUGUGGCUGGGGGUGAAAGGCCAAUCAAACCGGGAGAUAGCUGGUUCUCCCCGAAAGCUAUUUAGGUAGCGCCUCGUGAAUUCAUCUCCGGGGGUAGAGCACUGUUUCGGCAAGGGGGUCAUCCCGACUUACCAACCCGAUGCAAACUGCGAAUACCGGAGAAUGUUAUCACGGGAGACACACGGCGGGUGCUAACGUCCGUCGUGAAGAGGGAAACAACCCAGACCGCCAGCUAAGGUCCCAAAGUCAUGGUUAAGUGGGAAACGAUGUGGGAAGGCCCAGACAGCCAGGAUGUUGGCUUAGAAGCAGCCAUCAUUUAAAGAAAGCGUAAUAGCUCACUGGUCGAGUCGGCCUGCGCGGAAGAUGUAACGGGGCUAAACCAUGCACCGAAGCUGCGGCAGCGACACUAUGUGUUGUUGGGUAGGGGAGCGUUCUGUAAGCCUGUGAAGGUGGCCUGUGAGGGUUGCUGGAGGUAUCAGAAGUGCGAAUGCUGACAUAAGUAACGAUAAAGCGGGUGAAAAGCCCGCUCGCCGGAAGACCAAGGGUUCCUGUCCAACGUUAAUCGGGGCAGGGUGAGUCGACCCCUAAGGCGAGGCCGAAAGGCGUAGUCGAUGGGAAACAGGUUAAUAUUCCUGUACUUGGUGUUACUGCGAAGGGGGGACGGAGAAGGCUAUGUUGGCCGGGCGACGGUUGUCCCGGUUUAAGCGUGUAGGCUGGUUUUCCAGGCAAAUCCGGAAAACCAAGGCUGAGGCGUGAUGACGAGGCACUACGGUGCUGAAGCGACAAAUGCCCUGCUUCCAGGAAAAGCCUCUAAGCAUCAGGUAACAUCAAAUCGUACCCCAAACCGACACAGGUGGUCAGGUAGAGAAUACCAAGGCGCUUGAGAGAACUCGGGUGAAGGAACUAGGCAAAAUGGUGCCGUAACUUCGGGAGAAGGCACGCUGAUAUGUAGGUGAAGCGACUUGCUCGUGGAGCUGAAAUCAGUCGAAGAUACCAGCUGGCUGCAACUGUUUAUUAAAAACACAGCACUGUGCAAACACGAAAGUGGACGUAUACGGUGUGACGCCUGCCCGGUGCCGGAAGGUUAAUUGAUGGGGUUAGCGGUAACGCGAAGCUCUUGAUCGAAGCCCCGGUAAACGGCGGCCGUAACUAUAACGGUCCUAAGGUAGCGAAAUUCCUUGUCGGGUAAGUUCCGACCUGCACGAAUGGCGUAAUGAUGGCCAGGCUGUCUCCACCCGAGACUCAGUGAAAUUGAACUCGCUGUGAAGAUGCAGUGUACCCGCGGCAAGACGGAAAGACCCCGUGAACCUUUACUAUAGCUUGACACUGAACAUUGAGCCUUGAUGUGUAGGAUAGGUGGGAGGCUUUGAAGUGUGGACGCCAGUCUGCAUGGAGCCGACCUUGAAAUACCACCCUUUAAUGUUUGAUGUUCUAACGUUGGCCCGUAAUCCGGGUUGCGGACAGUGUCUGGUGGGUAGUUUGACUGGGGCGGUCUCCUCCUAAAGAGUAACGGAGGAGCACGAAGGUUGGCUAAUCCUGGUCGGACAUCAGGAGGUUAGUGCAAUGGCAUAAGCCAGCUUGACUGCGAGCGUGACGGCGCGAGCAGGUGCGAAAGCAGGUCAUAGUGAUCCGGUGGUUCUGAAUGGAAGGGCCAUCGCUCAACGGAUAAAAGGUACUCCGGGGAUAACAGGCUGAUACCGCCCAAGAGUUCAUAUCGACGGCGGUGUUUGGCACCUCGAUGUCGGCUCAUCACAUCCUGGGGCUGAAGUAGGUCCCAAGGGUAUGGCUGUUCGCCAUUUAAAGUGGUACGCGAGCUGGGUUUAGAACGUCGUGAGACAGUUCGGUCCCUAUCUGCCGUGGGCGCUGGAGAACUGAGGGGGGCUGCUCCUAGUACGAGAGGACCGGAGUGGACGCAUCACUGGUGUUCGGGUUGUCAUGCCAAUGGCACUGCCCGGUAGCUAAAUGCGGAAGAGAUAAGUGCUGAAAGCAUCUAAGCACGAAACUUGCCCCGAGAUGAGUUCUCCCUGACUCCUUGAGA
This 2801-nucleotide ribosomal RNA is filed under the name Escherichia coli. RNAcentral's name for it is "partial 23S ribosomal RNA". It matches the Rfam family "Bacterial large subunit ribosomal RNA". Lineage: Bacteria; Pseudomonadati; Pseudomonadota; Gammaproteobacteria; Enterobacterales; Enterobacteriaceae. The record is from RNAcentral.